This is a long non-coding RNA of Fukomys damarensis (Damara mole-rat), 800 nucleotides long. RefSeq lists it as uncharacterized. The record is from RefSeq and is a predicted model, not a curated record. Lineage: Eukaryota; Metazoa; Chordata; Mammalia; Rodentia; Bathyergidae. The transcript has 5 exons.
UGCCCGUCCACAGAAGAGCGGUCACGUGAGUGAGAAGUCAGCCGAGAAUCUGCCCAGCUGCUAACGCUCUGUGCACUGAAACAUGUUGACGUAGACGGCGGAGGUGACAGCAGCGGGGUGAGGUACCUUGGAACCUGCCUGGAGGAGGAUUUGCAAUGUGUGCAGCAAAGGAAUAAACUCAGAACCAGUGAGCACAUUAAGAGAAGCACUGGCUCAUUCGGACCAUGCCUUCAGCAACACCGAACACAGAAUCCUUGAGGUGCUGAAGACCUAGGAGCAAGCAGGACUUUGGGGUCCCUGACUCAGAAUGAGGCGCAAUCAUGGAAACUGGGACCCCAGCAGGUCCAGGACAGAGCAAGCGGGCAGUCCCAGCAGGCUCAAAUACAGGAACGGCAUGGUGGAAGGGCCUGUCCUGGAAGACGGCUCACAUCAUGGCAGACAGGGAGUAGAGCGUGUGACAGGAAGUCUGCCUCCGGGCCACACUUCCAAGGACCGGCCUCUUCCUCCCAGACCCCACCCCUGGCAGCACACUCAGCUCUGAAUUCUUCAGUGGAUUAAUCUACUUGUAGACUGAACCAAGCAGAUCAGAGUGCUGGAUCCCAACUCACAGCCCUGAGCUGCUCUGGGUCUGGACCAGCGAGUGUGAGGAGGGAAGAGGACUCUGGACACUCUGUCAGCAGGAUUUGUAAGGAUACUGUGGAAACCAAAGUUCACAGCAAAACAUGUGACUUCCAAGUUGAAUGUGAACCAACGAAUCAGUUUUGUGGUGUCAUGAACCCAAAUAAAGAUAGGUAUAAAAA